AACGAACGCUGGCGGCAUGCCUAACACAUGCAAGUCGAACGAGACCUUCGGGUCUAGUGGCGCACGUGUGCGUAACGCGUGGGAACCUGCCCUUAGGUUCGGAAUAACUCCCCGAAAGGGGUUCUAAUACCGGAUAAUGUCUUCGGACCAAAGAUUUAUCGCCUUUGGAUGGGCCCGCGUUGGAUUAGCUAGUUGGUAGGGUAAAAGCCUACCAAGGCGACGAUCCAUAGCUGGUCUGAGAGGAUGAUCAGCCACACUGGGACUGAGACACGGCCCAGACUCCUACGGGAGGCAGCAGUGGGGAAUAUUGGAGAAUGGGCGAAAGCCUGAUCAAGCAAUGCCGCGUGAGUGAUGCAGGCCUUAGGGUUGUAAAGCUCUUUUACCCGGGAUGAUAAUGACAGUACCGGGAGAAUAAGCUCCGGCUAACUCCGUG
RNAcentral lists this ribosomal RNA (433 nucleotides) under uncultured bacterium. Its description in RNAcentral is "partial 16S ribosomal RNA". It matches the Rfam family "Bacterial small subunit ribosomal RNA", at positions 29 to 507 of the family's 1533-position model. The record is from RNAcentral.